UUUUUUUAAGAAAUGAUACUAUUAAAGGUCAAGUGUGUUUUUCUUUCCCAAGAAAAAAAGAAGUUAGAACUUAAUGAAAUUAUUGCUCAUCUCCAAGUUUUCUUGACUUUUCUAAUGUUUAAAAACAACAGCACCCUUGUAAUUCUCUAUCAAAACCAAAGCCUACAAAGAGCAAAGAUCAAAGAAUACCAAAUGGAAGAAGUAAUAUCAUGACUAACAAUAACUUCUUUUUAACUUUUUAAAUACUUCCAAUCUAGUAGAUUCAGUCAGUUGACAUAAGGGAAAUACACAGUAUAUAGUAGAUACCAAAAAAGUUACUAUUUAAGUGAAAAACUAAGUAGAGUAAAUGAUGAAGAAAUGAAGUUAUCUACUAUAUUUUCUACAAAAAGUAUAUCUAUAAAACACUUCCUACUAUAUUUAGGAUUUAUUGUUAUUUCAAAUAUGCUGUAUUAGACAUUGUGUGAAGAAUGCUUUUAAAGAGGGGAAAGGUCACCUCCUAAAGUCACAUUUAGAAAAUAUAACCUUUCUUGUAUUCAUUUUACAAACAUUUGGGGGUGGGGAGUACAAAAUAAAUAUGCUGACCAAAACUAAAACAUUAUUUGGGCUAAUAUAAAAAUCAUCAAAGAAAAUAAAAAGACUAACAUUUAAAUUCCAUAUCUUACAGUUACUUGAUCUUCCUAGUUUUGUUUAUAAGCCCAUUAUUUAGCUAAAGAAAUUAUUUGAAAAGAUGAAAGCAUAUAAAAGCUAAUAUGCAUCUAGUCUGCAUGUAGAAUAUUCAUUUAGAAAUU
Molecule: long non-coding RNA, 788 nt
Filed under: Bos taurus (domestic cattle)
Lineage: Eukaryota; Metazoa; Chordata; Mammalia; Artiodactyla; Bovidae
Description: long non-coding RNA NONBTAT019403
Source: RNAcentral